Molecule: ribosomal RNA, 320 nt
Filed under: uncultured eukaryote
Lineage: Eukaryota
Description: partial 18S ribosomal RNA
Rfam family: Eukaryotic small subunit ribosomal RNA
Source: RNAcentral
CCCCUAGAUGUUCUGGGCCGCACGCGCGCUACACUGAACAGUUCAACAAGUCUUAACCUUGGCCGAUAGGUCUGGGUAAUCUUUGAACGCUGUUCGUGAUUGGGAUAGACCUUUGCAAUUAUGGGUCUUCAACGAGGAAUUCCUAGUAAACGCAAGUCAUCAGCUUGCAUUGAUUACGUCCCUGCCCUUUGUACACACCGCCCGUCGCACCUACCGAUUGAAUGGUCCGGUGAAAUUUCGGGACGGCGGCUUGGUCGCUUGCGUCCGACUGCUGAAACUUGAUUAAACCAUAUCAUUUAGAGGAAGGUGAAGUCGUANCA